GUGUGUUGUUGGGUAGGGGAGCGUUCUGUAAGCCUGUGAAGGUGUGUCGUGAGGCAUGCUGGAGGUAUCAGAAGUGCGAAUGCUGACAUAAGUAACGAUAAAGCGGGUGAAAAGCCCGCUCGCCGGAAGACCAAGGGUUCCUGUCCAACGUUAAUCGGGGCAGGGUGAGUCGACCCCUAAGGCGAGGCCGAAAGGCGUAGUCGAUGGGAAACGGGUUAAUAUUCCCGUACUUGGUGUUACUGCGAAGGGGGGACGGAGAAGGCUAUGUUGGCCGGGCGACGGUUGUCCCGGUUUAAGCGUGUAGGUGUGUGUUCCAGGUAAAUCCGGUUCACUUUAACACUGAGGCGUGAUGACGAGGCACUACGGUGCUGAAGCAACAAAUGCCCUGCUUCCAGGAAAAGCCUCUAAGCAUCAGGUAACAUCAAAUCGUACCCCAAACCGACACAGGUGGUCAGGUAGAGAAUACCAAGGCGCUUGAGAGAACUCGGGUGAAGGAACUAGGCAAAAUGGUGCCGUAACUUCGGGAGAAGGCACGCUGACACGUAGGUGAAGUGAUUUACUCAUGGAGCUGAAGUCAGUCGAAGAUACCAGCUGGCUGCAACUGUUUAUUAAAAACACAGCACUGUGCAAACACGAAAGUGGACGUAUACGGUGUGACGCCUGCCCGGUGCCGGAAGGUUAAUUGAUGGGGUCAGCGCAAGCGAAGCUCCUGAUCGAAGCCCCGGUAAACGGCGGCCGUAACUAUAACGGUCCUAAGGUAGCGAAAUUCCUUGUCGGGUAAGUUCCGACCUGCACGAAUGGCGUAAUGAUGGCCAGGCUGUCUCCACCCGAGACUCAGUGAAAUUGAACUCGCUGUGAAGAUGCAGUGUACCCGCGGCAAGACGGAAAGACCCCGUGAACCUUUACUAUAGCUUGACACUGAACAUUGAGCCUUGAUGUGUAG
Molecule: ribosomal RNA, 943 nt
Filed under: Salmonella enterica subsp. enterica serovar Newport
Lineage: Bacteria; Pseudomonadati; Pseudomonadota; Gammaproteobacteria; Enterobacterales; Enterobacteriaceae
Description: partial 23S ribosomal RNA
Rfam family: Bacterial large subunit ribosomal RNA
Source: RNAcentral